Long non-coding RNA from Gadus morhua (Atlantic cod), 900 nucleotides. RefSeq lists it as uncharacterized. The transcript has 4 exons. Lineage: Eukaryota; Metazoa; Chordata; Actinopteri; Gadiformes; Gadidae. The record is from RefSeq and is a predicted model, not a curated record.
UGGUCUACAUUGAAUUCUCAUAAUCUCCUCAUGUGACAACCAGAAGUGCACUCUUCAAUUCACACUUUUAGAUUCCUGAGUUACAAAUAACUGAAGAUGCUUGGUCCUACACAAUGAUUUCCAGAGUAUCUAUGUUGGGGCAUGUUUCAAAUAGGAAAAUAAAUCUCUAUUCAUCUUGUACACUCCAUCCAGCACUACAGUUCAGAAUGCCUUCCAAAGAAUGAAGCCCACCCCCCAUGGCUCAGCUAGUGGCGUUCACCGGACCAGGAACCCCGAGACCUGAAGGAGGAGCCGUGCAUCUGGAGGAACACCAUGAGGCUACCUGCCAAGUAUUACUAACUUCCACGAGGAGGGGGACUGACGGCUGGAGGACCUGCCUACUGGUGGGGCGAGUGACACCCGGCUCUACAGGGAUGACCAUGGAGGAGAGAGAGCGGAAGCCUGUGCAUCCUGAAGGGGAAUCAGGAGCGGUUGAAGAGCUGUGUUCAGUCUGGGAAGGACACACCUGAGCUGUUUCACACUGAGCUGCUUCACACCUGCAUCUCUAACCAGCUGAAGCCCUUCAGUGACCAACAAACGGUGCCUCAUCACAGCUUAUCAUCGCUGGCCUGAGGAUUCAUCUGCUACACUCACACAACGUGACUUUGUCACCAUCUGCUGCACGUUGGGAUGCUAACGUGUUCCACCAGGGGUUCCUUCCUUCCCGCAGUGGGAGUGUUCCUUGUCCUUCAAGGAGUUAGGGUUCAGUGUUAGGGACAGAGUUAGGGAGAGAUGGUUGAGUCCUGGCUGGUUUACGAUGAACUGCUCUAACGCUUUGGCAAAAUGUUUCAAUGUGCAAACACUCACAUACACAUACAAUGUAUAAUAAGUGUUUAUGAAAUAAAUUCUGUUAUAAUUCUG